AUGAUGAUAUCCCUUUAUUAUAAGUUUAUGGUUAGAUAACUGAAACUUUGUGUUGAAUAUUCUAGGGCGGUCUGAUUUU
Contarinia nasturtii (swede midge) is the source of this 79-nucleotide small nucleolar RNA. RefSeq annotates it as small nucleolar RNA U43. NCBI's taxonomy places the organism in Eukaryota, Metazoa, Arthropoda, Insecta, Diptera, Cecidomyiidae. The record is from RefSeq and is a predicted model, not a curated record. The transcript has a single exon.